RNAcentral lists this ribosomal RNA (379 nucleotides) under uncultured eukaryote. RNAcentral describes it as "partial 18S ribosomal RNA". It matches the Rfam family "Eukaryotic small subunit ribosomal RNA", at positions 592 to 976 of the family's 1831-position model. The record is from RNAcentral.
CAAUAGCGUAUAUUUAAGUUGUUGCAGUUAAAAAGCUCGUAGUUGGAUUUUGGGUCGGGGGCACCGGUCCGCCGUUCCGGUGUGCACUGGUGGCCCCUUCCUUUCUGCCGGGGACGUGCGUCGCACUUAAUUGGGUGGCGUUCGGAGUCGGCGUUGUUACUUUGAAAAAAUUAGAGUGUUCAAAGCAAGCCAUCGCUCUGAAUACAUUAGCAUGGAAUAACAUGAUAGGACUCCGGUCUUAUUUUGUUGGUUUCCGAGACUGGAGUAAUGAUUAAGAGGGACAGUCGGGGGCAUCCGUAUUUCAUUGUCAGGGGUGAAAUUCUUGGAUUUAUGAAAGACGAACUUCUGCGAAAGCAUUUGCCAAGGAUGUUUUCAUUAA